This 350-nucleotide long non-coding RNA is filed under the name Salvia miltiorrhiza (redroot sage). RNAcentral describes it as "long non-coding RNA (SMIL_LNC014404)". The record is from RNAcentral. Lineage: Eukaryota; Viridiplantae; Streptophyta; Magnoliopsida; Lamiales; Lamiaceae.
UGGUCCCUAUUUGUGUUUUUUAGGUAAAUAGAUCCGAUAGCACAUAUUUUAAUUUUUUUUUUAUUUUAGUUUUGGGAUGACUAGAUCUACAUCACGAAUCUUAUUAUUUGUCGAUUUAUAGUUUUUUGGGUAAUUUCUUUAGGUAUUUGUAUGGCGUAUAUUAUGAUUAAUUUUGUAAUUGAAUUAUUGUUUAGAUUUUAAAUUUUCUGAACUCUCUAUGAAUGUCGAUCGGAUUCUGACUUGCCCUUUGAAAAUGUUAUGAAUGGAUUUUUUGAUGUUACUUGUAUUUUUUAACUAAUUUUGAUUAUGUAUUUUGGGGUGUCAUCUAUGCCUUAUGUGUAAUAUCAUUC